AUGUCCCCAUCCCAGAUCCUCUGCAUCCUGCUGCUCUGGGCUCAGGAGUCCAGCGCAGUCACUGAGGUAACCCAAUCUCCAGCUUCCCUGUCUGUGGCUCUGGGAGAGAAAGUCACCAUCAGCUGCAGGGCCAGUAAGAGCAUCAGCAAUAAUUUAGCCUGGCAUCAGCAGCCACCAGGAAAACUUCCAAGACUUCUUGUGUAUUAUGCUAGCUCCCUAGCAUCUGGGGUCCCUGCCCGCUUCAGUGGCAGUUGGUCUGGGACAGAUUUUACUCUCACAAUCAACAAUGUGGUGGCUGAAGAUGUUGGACAUUACUAUUGUCAACAGCAUUAUGAUUUCCCUCUCCCACAGUGA
Molecule: non-coding RNA, 354 nt
Organism: Gracilinanus agilis (Agile Gracile Mouse Opossum)
Lineage: Eukaryota; Metazoa; Chordata; Mammalia; Didelphimorphia; Didelphidae
Source: the annotation of a RefSeq genome assembly